Molecule: long non-coding RNA, 308 nt
Filed under: Elaeis guineensis (African oil palm)
Lineage: Eukaryota; Viridiplantae; Streptophyta; Magnoliopsida; Arecales; Arecaceae
Description: long non-coding RNA (EGUI_LNC019661)
Source: RNAcentral
AGAAGGUAAUUGAGUACCACCAAAAUCACCAAGGAGAAAUCCUUUGUAUUCCGUAUCUUCUUUUGAAAUCUCCCCCUGCAAAUAGAAAUGUGGAGGUUAAAAGAAUGAUUCAGUUUUACUAAAGAUGACAUCCAUGGAGAUAAACAUCUUCUGGAUUGAAGGAUGAUAAUAUUUGUAGCUCUUUUUGGUAUUUGAGUACCACAUAGACAUACACUUUAAAGCUUUAGGAUUGAGUUUGCCCCUAUUUUGUUGGUGAACAUGGACAUAGGAGAUAUAUUUGAAUACUGUAAGCGGUAGGUUAUUGAAAA